CUAUUACUUUAGCAGCAGCUGCUCGGAACUCAUUGAUCCAGUGGAAAGGCAGGAGGAAGGUGACCAUAUAAAGAGGAAGGGAAAAAGAGAGCCUGGCUUAUGGGGGUCACAAUCAGUGGAUUUCCUGCAGGCCAGCAUAUCCAGUGGGUCACUGCAAUGUUUUAGCGUGUGUAUUGUUGAGCCGGAACGUGGGGAGAGUUUAAGGUGUGGUCAGUUUGGACAUAAUGUCCGAGGGAGGAAGUGUGUUCCGCUGAAGUAAAGGGUCAGCGUUGUGUUUCUGAAUGAAGAUCAGUGAAAAUCGGCGAGUGAGUGGGAAAGGCUGAGUAUUUCUCUAAUGUCAGUCCAAUGUGCAGCUGUGUUGGAUUGAACUAAUGACUAGCAAAAGUGUAGCUGUGUAAUUCAGGAGUUUGUUUUUGAAUGUAAGAGUGAUUUCAUGAUUGGGUGCCGUUUAUACGAUGUAACUCUAAAAAAAUGCAUCUUUGCUUUUUCAUUUUUCACCAUUGAAUACAAUUAAAUGUGUUAACCCGUCCAAGGUAAGGGUUUGUUUAUUGAAAACGGUUGUAGAGUGGAACGUUACAGAAAUAUUUUUAGCACAGAAAACAUUUCUAAUUAGCAUCCAUAUUAUCACAAGGACUUUAAAGACAUUUGAAUGAUUUCAUUCUUUUUUUUAUAUAAUAAUAACUGAGUAACAUGUGACCUCCUCAUAGGCUCCAGGCUCCCCUGUGAACCAUUUUCUUCUUCCCGUGAUGUUCAGUGAAAUUCGGAUGACACAACGUCCUGUUGACUUUCCUGUUGAAUAUUCCAAAUAUUUCAUAGGGGUGAGUGUGGUCAGGUAACAAAGUUGACUAGGAUGCAACUAAAAGCCAUGACUCAUGGAAAAGGAUGACAUUUUAAAUGAGAUGGAUUUCACCUUAAUGCCACAAUACAUUUCUGAAGUACAUUAAUGUUUAUAUUGCAAGGUUACGUGAAAGUAAAAUGAUGUUUUUUUAAGUGCUGAAGAGGUUUUAAGCUAUUUAUCAGAAACCUGCAUAUAGGUUGUUGUUGGUUGCCUACGUUUAAAUAUCAUUUAUCUUUACUUUGACUUUGCAUAUAUAUUUGUAAGAGGACUAUCAGUGGAAUCACGGAAUCACCAACUGGAUUUAAAGAAAAUCAGGGAAAGUCUGAAGUGGACAAAUGCAGAAUGUAUUCAGUUUUCUAAAUUGUUAUUCUGUUUAUCAUCUGGCCUUUCCCACACGUUGUCCUCUGUGACAAGCCAGCUUUGCCACUGUGUGUUUAUCAGGCCACCACUUGCCUCUCAUCUGCAACACCUUGAGCCUUUGUGAUUACUCCCCCGGGAUGACUCGCUCAAGCGUUUGUUUGAAUUACAAAGUGCACGGUCAAAGACUGGCCAUGCGGCUCCUUGGAAGUAAAUCUGGAACUGCUUUCAAGUCUAAGGUGUGAGGUGUGAAGAGAUGCCAUGUCAACCUGUGCUGUCUUCAUUGGACGGAUUUCUCUGAAGCUGGGGUAAAAGGGGGCAACUGGUGAUGGGCAACACAUCAGGAGCAAAAGGGGAGAAAGAUGAGUUAUUGCCAUGUGGAGAGGGGGUUUUAGAAGGGCACAGACAGACGCACGGCCGUCCAAUGAGUCAAAUUGCAUGAAGGGGAGGAUAAAUGAGAUCCAGAUCUUCCUUGGAUGCCUACAAUGCUGUUCCAAUUAGCAGGCUGUCUGGUUCAAAGGCAAGACCUCGAUACACUUCUGCUCGGCACGAUCCACAUCUCAUCACCCCCCCUUAUGACUUUCACCUCCGUUAUCACUCCGCUACCUUUUAUCUCUCACUCUCUCAAAUUUAGAUUUCAAGAAUUUUGUCGGUGCAUGACUACAUCCGGUUAGUGUUUUAUCGAAGCACAUGCUUACAGUACGUGAGGGGGAAAUGUUUCACUGAAAAUAUCAGUGUGCAAAAAAGAAAUAAUAUAAUUCAUUUUUCUAUUAAUAUAAAAUGCCAUGUUCUGCUUGCAUCAUCAAUCAGUCCAAUCCAGGCUCAAACAGAAAACCGGCUCGCAUCAACACCAACAUUCAAGUGAGCUUACAGUAAUAAAGAUAUUUAUUAGCAUGUCGUGUUUACCUUUUAUCAGUGCCACUUCUGUAUUUUUAUCUGACCUGUGAGUUUUGGAUAAUCUUAUGCUGUCUUUCUAUAGGUGGCUUUCAGGCAAGUGUCAUAGCAACAGUCACAGCCUAAGAUUUUAAUCAAAAAAUUUCUCACGUUGCCAGAACUUUGUUUUCCACUCUGACUAAAUCGACCGAAAAUGAGUCCGUUGCAUCAUGUGUUCUAAGAUGGCCGAUCUCGAUUCACAACCGAAGAGUUGUUUUACGAUGUGUGCGUCUCAACCAGCUCCCUACCAGAUCAGGGAGUCGGCCAUUUUAAGGGUGGUUUCAAUCGCAAAAUCCUUCUACUGCACUGGAACGUUCGCUCCCUAAAAUAUCCUCAACACACCGUAAAAAACAGGGAUCAUUGAUGCUAACUUUUUCCUCUUACUGGUACUGACGUCGUGUUUUCUGAAGCCUCUCCGCUCAAAAUAAAUGGUGGGACAACUUUUGUCUACAAAUAUAUUCUAUGAUCCUGCUUGAAGUACCAUGACAGAAACGUGUGAUAUUGCCGACGUUUUUCAGCGAGAUCUCAGUUCCCUUUGAUUCACUGCCCGACACUUUCUCCAGGAGAAACUGCCCCACAGAUGUUCCUCCAGAGACUACAAAGAAGGAGGCCUUUAUGAGGAGCGAGUCUAUUUCAGGUCCUCUGCAUUUCCAAGCUGUGUGGCUUUGAAAGGAUGAUUCCAUUGGGCUGAACCUAGAGAAAGGGAACCUCAGUCUAAGCGUGACACGAAGCCUGGACCUAUGUGCAGGAACUCACUCUGAGGACUAUUGUCUUUCAACAUUGACAUGGGGUUUGGGAGCAGGGAGUGGUGAACAACUGGUCUAUCCCUGAGAUAUGUUGACCGCCACCGGAUGCUGGACUGAUCCACUGAGGUACGAACACUGACCAACAGUAAGAAAAGGCCACAAGGAUCAAGCCCUUAUGGAGUGUUACAAAACGUGGUGAGGACACGUGUAAAGUGUUGCAGCUUGCAUGGAGGAUAUAGUCUGUGUUCGUUGCCUGCAAAACUAGCACAUGUUUCUGGGUUUAACGUCACGCCAGACAGGUGUUUAUGCUCAGAAGACAUCUUUAUGGUGAAAUAUCACAGUUAAGGGCUGCAUUUUGUCUGAAAGUAAGAGUGAGGUGAGAAAGGUUAAAAAAAUGAAGGAGACUGAGAAAGGGAAGAAAAAUUUUGGACGCUAGUUCAGUAUGGCCUUGAUAAGAUGUUGGGAUGGGUCCAAUGCAAAAUAUAUGCAACCGAGCACUAAGCACCUGGUAAUACUCUUCAUUAGUGGCUGAUGAUACAACACACAUGCACCAGCACAACUAAAUACAUUACACACACAAACACAUUCAGUUAGGCAAGGAGCCUAGAGAUGAUGGGAAUCCUUGCAUUAGGCCAUAGGGCUGUAAAAAUGGGCAGCUGACUUAUGAUCACUUCCCAUUUCCUCAAAUCUAUGAAGAGUUACACUAGAAUACACUGUAUAGACUACUGCUGAUGGCCAUCAUGCAUGUACAAAGAUCAGCCAUAACAUUAAAACCACCUGCCUAAAAUAGUGUAGGUCCUCCUUGUGUCAGCAAAACAGCUCUGACCCAUUGAGGCAUGGACUCCACAAGACCUCUGAAGGUGUGCUGUGGUAUCUGGCACCAAGACGUUAGCAGCAGGUCCUUUAAGUCCUCUAAGUUGCGAGGUUGGGCCUCCAUGGAUCAGACUUGUUUGUGAAGUACAUCCCACAGAUGCUAGAUCAAAUUGAGAUCUGGGGAAUUUGGAGGCCUAGUCAACGCCUUAGACCCUUUGUCAUGUUUCUCAAACCAUUCCUCAACAAUUUUUGCAGUGUUGCAGGGUGCAUUAUCCUGCUGAAAGAGGAUAAAGAGGCCACUGCCGUUAGGGAAUACUGUUGACAUGAAGUGGUAUACUUGAACUGCAACAAUGUUUAGGUAGGUGAUAUAUGUCAAAGUAACAUCCACAUGAAUGCCAGGAUCCAAGGUUUGCCAGCAGAACAUUGUCCAGAGCAUCACACUGCCUCUGCUGGCUUCCUUCUUCCCAUAGUGCAUCCUGGUGCCAUCUCUUCCCCAGGAAAGUCACACACACACACACACACACACACACACACACACACACACACACACACACACACACACACACACACACACACACACACACACACACAGCAUCCACAUGACGGAAAAGAAAACAUGAUGCGCUAGCCUUAGCUCCCAACGCACAUCAAUGAGCCUUGGGCACACAUGACCCUGCUGCCAGUUUACCGUUUUGUCCUUCCUUGGAACACUCUUCAUAGGUACUCAGCACUGAAUACCAGGAACACCCCACAAGACCUGUUGUUUUGGAGAUGCCCUGGCCAAGUUGUCUGGCCAUCACAAUUUGGCCCUUGUCAAAGUCACUCAGAUCAUUACACUUGCACAUUUUUCCUGCUUACAACGAAUCGACUUUGAGAACUGACUGUUCACUUACUGCCUAAUGUAUUCCACCCCCUGACAGUUGCCACUGUAAUGAGAUAAUCAAUGUUAUUCCCUCCACCUGUCAGUGGUUUUAAUGUUAUAGCUAAUCGAUGUAGUAUCAUUUUGACUAUUUACCUUGGUAUUAUGCUAUCUGACCUAUAGUUAAGUGAACUAGCCUAAUAAUCAUUUUCAUGCUACUUUAGUUUGAACUUGUUUGAACAGUCUGAUAAAUGAUUUAAAAAAUAUAGCUAGCUACGUCAGACCUCUAGUGUCAAUGCUGGAAAGGGAUUAAGGUGGAAAGACUGCAAAAACUAUGGGAAAACAUUGGCCUCCGGUGCCCCGAUGUGUCAGGGUCCUUAUAUGGCGUGUGUUUUGUUUUGUUUUUUAAUUAAUUAAUUUAAUUUUCCAUUUAUUUAUUUGUUUGUUUGUUUACAGCAUAAAAUAUAGGACAUAGAAUUAUGGGGACAUUUAAUGGUCCUCAAAAUGCAUUUUACUUUUUUUUUCCUUUUCAUUUAACCAUGUACAGGGUUCAAUAGGGUACAGGGUUCAAUAGGGGAAAACCUAUACCAACAAUUCUGUGUGUGUGUGUGUGAGAGAGAGAGAGAGAGAGAGAGAGAGAGAGAGAGAGAGAGAGAGAGAGAGAGAGAGAGCGAGAGAGAGAGAGAGAGCGAGAGAAUUAUGAUGAAUAUUCAAGUGAAUGAUUCCAGCUGCUUCAUCUUUGCAUCUCACUGAGGAUCUCUCAUUGUCCUGCACUGAGAAACGCCGAAAACAAUCUAACAAUAUGUCACUUGAAGACAUCCAAAUGGCCUCUUUCAUUUAGAUUAGUUACACUGCACUACAGUAGCUUAGUACUAAUAAGGAAAUAUGUGAGCUUGUCCAACAAACACACAUUUUACAUCCAUUACUAGCAUUAUGAAUAUCCCUCUCAGCUAUUUUAUUUUAAAACCCAAUAACGCUGACGGAUGUUGACCCUAAUGGUUUAUAUGAAUAAAAGAGGACAAUCAGGGCAAAGUUGAAGAUCAGAACAAUGCACUGCUGAUCGUUCUGAAACACAGGUUCUUCCUCUUAAGCUCUUCCUUUGUAUGAUUCUAGGAAACUAUAAAAAGGGGUUUCCCUAGAGAAUGAAUACAAAGAACCCCAAAAUGAUUGUCCUAGGGUUUGCUUUUCUUUGCUUUCUUGUGGUGGAGCCUCUCUCUAGCAGGUGAAACUGUGCUGCAACAAACAGGACAGACUAGAACUAGAAACAAGUUACCGAUAAAUAUAAUGGAAAACACCUCGAUAGCUCAGGUGGUAGUGCAUCAGACUUGUCCUUCAACUCUAAGCUUAUUAUUUAGUUGAGUAUUUAAAAUUAUACAAUUGAGUAACUAAUACAGGGGAUUGUUUUUUUUUUUUUUUUUUUUUACUAACUACAGUGACAUUAAUAGAAAAAGGUAUGGAGGUGUGAGAGUCCUGUGAGUUUAAAUGGAUAUUCUAAGGGACCAGGGUUCAAGCUGUGAUACAGUAAAGGAUGAUGACAAGCCAAUGGCGAGCCUCGAUUCUACAAGUCUCUGGGGCUGUUCGGGAGGGAUAAAUACCAUUUGUCCAAAAGAUAUUCCUUCAGCUGGCAUUUUCAGGAUAAUUAUAAUGAUGAUAAUGAGUCUUUAUCGGUCAUAUAUACAUAUACACAGUGAAAUUAUUUUCUUUGCAUACCCCAGCAUGUCAGGAAGCUGGGAUCAGAGCGCAGGGUCAGCCAUUAUACAGCGCUCCUGGAGCAGAGAGGGUUAAGGGUCUUGCUCAAGGGCCCAACAGUGGCAGCUUUGCAGUGUUGGUUCUUGAACCCCCAACCUUCUGAUCAGUAACCAAGAGCCUUAACGCCUUAGUGCUGGAGAGAGCUACGUAAAAUCCCAUAAGUGUUUAAUUGGGUUGAAAUUUGGGGUGACUGUGAAGGCAUUCUCAUUCUCAUCAAACCAUUCACUGAUGCCUCAUGCCCUGUCAAUGGGGGCAGAGUCAUCCUGAAGAGACCACUCCCAGCAGGAAAGAAAUGUUUAUCAUACUUAUUAUAUUACUUUAGUUAUCACCUUAUUUGACUGGUUGUUUUACUUGAAUGGGUUUAAUCCCAACCCUAAUAACUCAAAAAAAUAAGCAGGGAUAUGAAUUCAAUUUGAAUUCAAAGGACAAUUAUAAUAAAAAUGCGGUCUGUGUAUGGAGCAUUCAGGAAUAAAAAGCACAUUUUACUCAACAUUAUUGAUUUUUUUCUUUUUUUAAUGAGAAUAUUUUAAUGAUAUUUGAUAUCAAAAUAUUUGAAUAGUUGGACGUUUACUUCAUUCAUAGUAUAAAUCUGUUCUGAGGCAGUGUGUGGAAUCCUGCUCAUUCAAUUAUUCAUUCAUUCACUUGUUCAUUUUUGUUUUUACUGUUAAAUUGUUCCAUGGUUGUACACGGUUUUCAACAUAGAGGUUUAAAAGAAAUGAUUUGCCUGGCAAAAUGAAGAAAAGAAAAGAAAAUAAACUAUCAUAUUGCAUUUAUGCAAUAAUAUGUAAAUCUUUAGAGUUUGUAAACAUGCUGCAAAUAGAGGAUUCUUCUUUAAUCACAGUGUGCUAAAAUUCCACUCAGGAAUCACCUCAUCCAGGUGUUUCAUCUAGCAUUAAUGUCUUAGUCUUAGCAUUACCCAGUGCCAGAUGUGCAUUAAGCACAAGCUUCAUUUAUAGCAGAUCAGAGAAGCCUAAUCUGAGCGUCAGGUCUGGAGCCUUGUUUACAGAGUGGAGCUGUAAUUAACAUUGGGACGGCUGGUACUUGGGAGAGGGAGACGGGAGUUUGGCGCAGGGGCCCAGAUUACAACCACAUAAAUAAUCAGCCUCAAUUCUCACUGCUGCUAUCACUGCUACAGUCUAGAGCUGUGGAACUCCCACAUCCUCUCUACAGAACAGAUCAGGCACACACACACACACACACACACACACACACACACACACACACACACACACACACACACGCACACACAAACUGACCUACUCCUAUCCCACUGAGACUGAGGUAUUUUUAUUCUCAGAGCUGAUGUUUUAAGGAUCUAGAGUCCAUCCUGUAUGGUGAUAUUUGUUAAGGAAAUAGCCUGAGCGCCAUUCCUUCUUCUCCUUCUCCCCCCCUAUCUCUCUCUCACACACACUCUCUCUCGCUCACUUUUGCUUGAUUAGACAAAGUUUCCACUGCUCUUAUCAUUCGCCAUCACAGUACAGUUUGUUUCUCUUCAUUUCAUUUCAGCUUUCAUCAAUCUACUCUGGGCCGAGCCAAUACGUUAUGCAGCUGGUUUUUUGUUUUCUUUAGUUUCUUUAACCUUUUUUUUAUGAACUGAAACUUACACUGUCGUCAGUUAAGGAUAAACUCUCUGUGAUGGUAGUUAGAGCAGCUACUGUAGAGCCAAAUAUGCCAAAGCCCUUGUAUAAGAUAUAGGCUAUAGAUAAAGAAUGCUCCAAAAUAUA
Long non-coding RNA from Ictalurus punctatus (channel catfish), 8019 nucleotides. RefSeq lists it as uncharacterized. Lineage: Eukaryota; Metazoa; Chordata; Actinopteri; Siluriformes; Ictaluridae. The transcript has 4 exons. The record is from RefSeq and is a predicted model, not a curated record.